This 381-nucleotide long non-coding RNA is filed under the name Homo sapiens (human). RNAcentral's name for it is "non-protein coding lnc-THOC2-5:2". Lineage: Eukaryota; Metazoa; Chordata; Mammalia; Primates; Hominidae. The record is from RNAcentral.
UCAUUCGGUUUGGACCAGAAGGAGGUUUUCCUCCUCCAUUUCCACCUUUGCCCUUUUCUGCUGGGCCCUUUUUGCCUUUUUUACAAGUUUGCCUUUGCCUUGCUUUUGGUUUUUUCCUUCGAUAUCUUCAAAAUCUGUGUCAGAAGAAAAAUGUGUUUCUGACUCUGUAGUAGAUUAAAAUCAGUUGGUAUUUCUGGAGCUGCUAUCAUUUCUUUAUCAUCUUCUGGAACACCUCAAUGUCAGAAAUAUAUUCAUAUAUUUACGUGGGUAAAAUGGUGGCUUGCCUUCUUUCUUCUAAGACAAUUUCAUUCGUUUGGCCGCGCUUCCGCCGCGGACCCGAUCGAGCCGCGGUUCUUCUGUCUUUAGUGGGGUGUCGAGGGG